AGUGAACGCUGGCGGUAGGCCUAACACAUGCAAGUCGAACGGCAGCACAGAGGAGCUUGCUCCUUGGGCGGCGAGUGGCGGACGGGUGAGGAAUCCAUCGGAAUCUACUCUGUCGUGGGGGAUAACGUAGGGAAACUUACGCUAAUACCGCAUACGACCUACGGGUGAAAGCAGGGGACCUUCGGGCCUUGCGCGAUUGAUUUAGCCGAUGUCGGAUUAGCUAGUUGGCGGGGUAAAGGCCCACCAAGGUGACGAUCCGUAGCUGGUCUGAGAGGAUGAUAAGCCACACUGGAACUGAGACACGGUCCAGACUCCUACGGGAGGCAGCAGUGGGGAAUAUUGGACAAUGGGCGCAAGCCUGAUCCAGCCAUACCGCGUGGGUGAAGAAGGCCUUCGGGUUGUAAAGCCCUUUUGUUGGGAAAGAAAUCCAGCUGGCUAAUACCCGGUUGGGAUGACGGUACCCAAAGAAUAAGCACCGGCUAACUUCGUGCCAGCCGCCGCAGUAA
RNAcentral lists this ribosomal RNA (506 nucleotides) under uncultured bacterium. RNAcentral describes it as "partial 16S ribosomal RNA". It matches the Rfam family "Bacterial small subunit ribosomal RNA", at positions 29 to 523 of the family's 1533-position model. The record is from RNAcentral.